UGGGGAAUAUUGCACAAUGGAGGGAACUCUGAUGCAGCGACGCCGCGUGAACGAAGAAGGCUUUCGAGUCGUAAAGUUCUUUUAUAUGGGAAGAUAAUGACGGUACCAUAAGAAAAAGCCCCGGCUAACUACGUGCCAGCAGCCGCGGUAAUACGUAGGGGGCUAGCGUUGUCCGGAAUCACUGGGCGUAAAGGGUUCGCAGGCGGAAAUGCAAGUCAGGUGUAAAAGGCAGUAGCUUAACUGCUGUAAGCAUUUGAAACUGCAUAUCUUGAGAAGAGUAGAGGUAAGUGGAAUUUUUAGUGUAGCGGUGAAAUGCGUAGAUAUUAAAAAGAAUACCGGUGGCGAAGGCGACUUACUGGGCUCAUUCAGACGCUGAGGAACGAAAGCGUGGGUAGCAAACAGG
RNAcentral lists this ribosomal RNA (403 nucleotides) under Fusobacteriota bacterium. Its description in RNAcentral is "Fusobacteria bacterium partial 16S ribosomal RNA". It matches the Rfam family "Bacterial small subunit ribosomal RNA", at positions 355 to 776 of the family's 1533-position model. Lineage: Bacteria; Fusobacteriati; Fusobacteriota. The record is from RNAcentral.